Molecule: unclassified non-coding RNA, 1568 nt
Filed under: Zea mays
Lineage: Eukaryota; Viridiplantae; Streptophyta; Magnoliopsida; Poales; Poaceae
Description: misc RNA Zm00001eb026780
Source: RNAcentral
AUUACUUCGACCACUCAUCGGAUACAAAACACUGAUUUAAUCCUUCUCGUAUAACCUAUGUCGUUAAACCUAAACUUAGUUAUGCAGCAUGACGACUUCGCAAUCGGGGACACAAUUACCAUGUUGCAGGUAGCCCCGUAUUCCUACAAGCGUCAAAUAAAUACGUGCCUGAGCUACAAGCGGAACACUCGUCGCGACAUACAUACCUAUCAAUUCAUUUAUCAAACUAGUCAAUAAAAAUAGCAAAGCAGCUCACCGUUUCAAUAUCUGACUCGAAUCCGCGAGAUCGGUAAUGAUUUUCCGGUCCAGGCAAUUUGUCGAGCGCUUAGCAGGUACUAUACGAGCUUCACGCACACCACCGCAUGACGAACUCUCAACACUGAUCGGACUUCACCCGAGUAAUUUGCGAAAUUAACUUCAACUCACAGCCGGUGUCGCGCGAAGGAGAAACGGGCCCAAGGGAAGCGAGCACGAAGGCGCUUGCACAUCGACGCGAAGAGAGAAAACCAGAGCACGAAGGGACGCUGGAAUCCGGGCUGGGCGCAACGACAACCAAACAGUGAAGCACGCGCGCGCAGCUAGGGAGCUUCAUGACAGGUCGCAGCUAGAACGACUGGCAAGGCGAAGCUCAUCGACGAGGUCGAGCAGAGGAUGGCGUGUGCGAGCGCACGCCGGAACUUGCCAAAAACACGAACACGAUGGCGUGCUGCGCACAUGACGCAAAAAAACGACCGCAAUUCCACGGCAGUUUCACGAACGCGGCAAGGACGUAGAACGCAGCAAUAGGGGCUAGACUCGGUGAUGGAACUCGACAGUAGCGAUCUAGGCGAGCGUAGCAGGGAGCCGGGACGAGACAGAGGCCAAGCGAGCUCUGGUCGGCAUGGACGCGACGGCCAGAGAUCUACGCGCAGGGGCGAAGCGACCGGCGCGCAGAACAGCGAGCAGAGAAGCAGUCACUGAGCUGGGGCGAACUGCGGCGCGUAGGAGCUGGGCGCACAGCAGAGACCGAGCGCCAUGGGGAGCAAGCAGCGAGCGCGGAUGUGAGAGAGAUCCGUGUAGGGGAAAUUCUAGGCACCACGAGAGAGAGCAGAGCUCCGACCGGGCGUGCGCAGGAAAGAGGACGAGGGCGCUGGGGCUAGGCGCGGUCCGAGCAGAGAGGGAGAUGAGCGCCGAGUUGAAGGAGGAAGCCGCUGCGCUAGGAGCUCCGAGCUGGGACUGGGAAGCAAGGGCGCGGCCAGGCGAGUACCAAAGCCGAGACAGGGAGCUCCGGCCAUGGGAAGUUAGGGACCGCGGGAGAGAGAAACAGGAGCUCGGCUGGGGUUUUGGCGAGGCCAUGGCGAGCAAGAAGCAUAGCACGCGGCAUGGGAGCUUGAGAGGAGAGAGCUGGGCGCAGCGCUCGGCGCUGGCCAGCAGGGAGGAGCAGAGGGCGCGCGGUGAUGAGAGAUUAGGGGAAGGAGGUCGAGCUGGAGCUGAGCGUGCGCCAUGGGAGCCGCGCGGUCGGCCAUGGAGAUGGGCAGAGGGAGCGCGCAGGAACUCCAUGGCUCAGGAGCAAGAAGAAAAAAUCAGGG